Long non-coding RNA from Helianthus annuus (common sunflower), 485 nucleotides. RefSeq lists it as uncharacterized. The transcript has 3 exons. The record is from RefSeq and is a predicted model, not a curated record. Lineage: Eukaryota; Viridiplantae; Streptophyta; Magnoliopsida; Asterales; Asteraceae.
AGAAACCCUAGCUUCAUCUAAUUCACAAGGAAAACUAUAAAGAUUCAAGGAAAUUGAAAGCAUAAUCAGGAAAUUGCAAGCUCUUAACUUGUCCAUUGAAAGGGCGUAAAGGAAGAGGGCUCAGGUUCUAAGAAGUCGGAAAGCUCACAAGACAAAGGUAAAUCCUCAUCUUAGACUAUUUGGCGAGUUGAAGCGAGCACGUGAUCACCACUUAACAUAUCAAGCGCUUCCGCUAGUUGCUUUAAUGUUUUGGGUCAAAUAAUAGUGAAAGUUUGUCUAAACUUGUUAGUAGAUGUAUUGGUCAAAAUUGAUGUUUUCUUUGGAUUUUCAUUGCGUCUAGUCGUAAGGGUCAUGGAAUAUUUUGUAUGAAAGUUGUAUGAAACAGGGGUAUGCUCAUUGUACGAAUGGGUCAUGUCCGAUUUUUGUCAAAAAUAUGAAUUUAACUUGUUAUUUCAAGUCUUAAAAUUAUCCUUGUAAAUGGUUUU